GGGCCAGACUCCUACGGGAGGCAGCAGUCGGGAAUAUUGCGCAAUGGAGGAAACUCUGACGCAGUGACGCCGCGUAUAGGAAGAAGGUUUUCGGAUUGUAAACUAUUGUCCACAGGGAAGAAAAAAGACUGUACCUGUGAAGAAAGCUCCGGCUAACUACGUGCCAGCAGCCGCGGUAAUACGUAGGGAGCGAGCGUUAUCCGGAAUUAUUGGGUGUAAAGGGUGCGUAGACGGGAAAGCAAGUUAGUUGUGAAAUCCCUCGGCUUAACUGAGGAACUGCAACUAAAACUACUUUUCUUGAGUGCAGGAGAGGUAAGUGGAAUUCCUAGUGUAGCGGUGAAAUGCGUAGAUAUUAGGAGGAACACCAGUGGCGAAGGCGACUUACUGGACUGUAACUGACGUUGAGGCACGAAAGUGUGGGGAGCAAACAGGAUUAGAUACCCCCGUAA
RNAcentral lists this ribosomal RNA (449 nucleotides) under uncultured bacterium. RNAcentral describes it as "partial 16S ribosomal RNA". It matches the Rfam family "Bacterial small subunit ribosomal RNA", at positions 328 to 793 of the family's 1533-position model. The record is from RNAcentral.